This 3793-nucleotide long non-coding RNA is filed under the name Centruroides sculpturatus (bark scorpion). Its description in RNAcentral is "uncharacterized LOC111630387". Lineage: Eukaryota; Metazoa; Arthropoda; Arachnida; Scorpiones; Buthidae. The record is from RNAcentral.
GUCUUUAUCAAGAAAAAACUGAACAAUCGAACUUCGAACUUAAAAUUUGCGUUACCGAUACAAGCGUUAUUUUUGGAACGUUUACAGCCAAUAUGUAGAGAUGGCGCUUAUACGAUAGAAAAUCUUUUUAAAAACAUUCCAAAAAUAACGCUUGUAUCGGUAACGCAAAUUUUAAGUUCGAAGUUCGAUUUGUUCAGUUUUUUCUUGAUAAAGACCAUUGAAUAUGGUCGAAAACGUUUGAAUUUAUCUAUUAAAUUACGGCUGCAUAUGUAAAGGUUGGUUUGAGGGUAUUUAGUUAAUAAAUGCAGUCUCUGACAAGUUAUUAAUUAAAGUACGUACAACAUAUACACAUAAUUCAUUUGUCAUUCAGUUUUCAUUCAUCUACAAAAUCAGCCAUUAUAUUUGGAAGUACAAGCAGUGGAAAUGUCAAUCAAACUUGCUUGGUAGCUGCUUCCUGCACACGCAUGUAGAAUUGUCAUCUAGUGGUCGCUGCAUGCUAAAUGCAGUUACUCCAAACGCACACAUUUGCUUGAACCAGUUUGUUCGCACUUCUUGGAAGUGCAUUCACGCUCGUGGUUGCUGGACGCUGCCAUGUAGGACGUACCCUAAGAAGUUUCUUUAUUGCCUUGCGGUUUAGUCAAAAAGUUUUGACUAAAACUUCUGUAUAUGCACUUAUUGAAAUUUUAAAAGUACAUUUUUAUUCUUAACCAAUAUGUGGCUGAUAGCAUUACCAUUGAUUGUCAUUGCCUCGACUAGUGUUUUAAUGUUAAAACAUGAAUUGUUUUAAUUAUUAUUUGUUUGCAGUAUAAUAGCUUAAAUUUAAUGGUCUAUCUUCAAUUAAUAAACAAAAAGAUGAAACCAAUCUCCAGCAAGAUUUGACAAGAAAGUAAAUUUUCAACUGUUUAUUAAUGUAUACCCAGUUUGGAGUAGUUUAAUUUCUUCAAUUAUAUGAGGGGUGUUCAAAAAGUAUCAGACCUUUAUUUUUCCCGCAUAAACCAAUGACAUGCCAAAGGCCUCCUUCGGGGGAGAUGUGGAGGGGACAGUCAUGCGCAGUCCUGAAUUUUUUCCCGCCUGCAGGAAGUGUCAGUCGCUGGCAGUCUGCCUAUGAGUGAAGACAUGUAGUGAGUGCUUGUCGGAUUCCACUAAGUUGUAAAAUGACUGAACAAUGUGCUCAGCGAUAUUGCAUAAAAUUUUGCCAAAAGCUUGGUGAUAUCCAAGCAAAAACCAUUUGCAAGAUUCAACAGGCUUUCUUGAACGAUGCUGAGCAACACAUGGAAAAAGGAAUGGUACAUCUGCUUCAAAGAUGGCCGCACAUCAGUGGACAGCGAACCGCGUUCAGGCAGACCCCCAACAAGCCGAAAUGACACUGUCAUUGAGCAAGUGCAGACUUUGGUCAUGGUGGACUGUCUUAUCACAGUCAGAGAACAGUCAUGUAAACGAGACAGGAGUAAGCGUUGGAUCAGUACAUUUAAUUUCGACCGAGUAUUUGGGUAUGAAGAGUGUCCGCGAAAUUCUGCACAUCUGAUUCAGACUUUCAUUGCCAAACACAACAUUUCUGUGGUUCGUCACGCUCUGUACUCUCCCGACAUGGCUUUGUGUGACUUUUGGCUAUUUCCCAAGCUGAAAAUGCCACUAAAAGGAACCCGAUUUGAGUCAAGAGAAGACGUCGUGUGGAAUGCGAUGGACUGGCUGAUGGUCAUUCCAAAAGAUGUGUUUCAGCAGUGUUUCCAGCAAUGGUAGGAGCGCUGGGAGAAGUGUAUACAUUACCAAGGAGACUAUUUUGAAGGGGAUUAGGGUUUUGUACCUCAAAAUGAAUAAAUGUAUUUUUGCCGACCAAAGGUUCAAUACUUUUUGAACACCCCUUGUAUGCUAGGUGGUUAGACCAUGAUGCAAAAAUUAGCAUGCAGACAACACUGGAUGAAUUUAUCAAUAAUAAUUAUAAAUCUCUCAUCUUCCAUGUCUUCAAUUGCUUUAUUUAGUUGACCAGAAAGUUUUAAAAUUGUUUCUUAAAACCCAAGAAAUAUUUUUAUAUUUUGUAAACAGUUUUAUAUUAUUCAGUGGUGUAUUUGCCAUUGUUUUCAACUAUCUUUUGCUAUUAUUAUUCUAAUUUAUGAAUCUAACUGUAGCAUAAAUCUGAAUCCUUUUCAAUAAAGAAAUCUUUAAUGUGAUUUUUUUUAUGUCAUUGUUCUGGAAAAGUUUUUUUUCUUGGAUAGUUUUGUAGAUACUGAAAUACAUGAAAAUCAGUGGGAGCAAGACCAGGUGAAUGUGGUGGAUGUUCCAUUGUUUUCCAUUUUGAUUUUUGUUGUUUGGCAGCCAUCAGGCCCAUCAAAAUUGAUUUUUUUUUUAUCUGACUAUACUUCAUUUUUCCACUGUUCUUUUCAGAUCAUGUGAUUCUGGUCCAAGUCAGUCUGGCAGCCUUAUUUUCUCCUUUGUAAGCUUUGGGUUUUGACUUCAUUUUGGCAUAUUUAAGAUGAUUGGCAGCAAGAACUAUUUCAAACUGUCUUUAAGCUUACUCCAUGUGCGGACUUUUUUAUGAGAAGUUUUUGUGGCCUUGCAGGUUAUAGAUCUUAUUGACUCACCAGCUUCAGUUAAACAUUUACUUUUGGCAUUUGAAAAGGUAGCAACAAUAAAUAUUGGUAGUUACAAGACUUGGUUUGAUAGAUAUCCAGUUAACAAAUUUAAAAAGUAAGUUAAAAAUAUGUACAUGAAUUAAAGUUUUGAGUGUUCUUAUCAUUACUCAACAGUAAAAAAAGAAUUUUCUUAUGAGUAAUUAGCUGCUAAUUUAUUUAGAAUUAUAACUGUUAUUAUUUAUUUCUUUCACACUUGUAUACUAACAUUCACAGUAAUAGCUUUUGUAACUUUGAGUUAUUCACAAAAUGUUUGAUGUGCUUAUCUUUAUUGAAUACACUGUAUGUAACACAUUGUUACCAGCCAGUUUCUAAAACUAUAUAACAAUGUCCCUGGCAUAAAAUAUUUUUUUAAAUACACUGUAUUUUGUUUGUUUAUUUUAUAAUAAGAAAAGAACAUUUAAUAACUGAGUGAAAAUAGAAUGUUAAUUUUAAUGCACAUGGGAAUUGAAGAGGUUAAUUAAUUAAUUUAAAUGAAUUUUAAGAAACAGCAUUUUAAUUAGUCAAACAGCACUUUAUAUUUCAAGGCUUGUGGGAUUUUUUUUAAACAAAAUUAUAAAUAUUGUUGAAUGUUGUGAUUGAGUUCAUAAGUUUUGAGCACUUCAGUUGUAAAGGGAUGGUAAAUCUGGACUAGAACACAACAGUCAAGAUCUUGAUUCCUAUAUCAUUGGACCAGAACAAAUCACAACGUAUUAAUCAAAAUGGAAGACACUGAAUUGCAUUAAGUAUAAAAACUGUAAUUAUUUCAAAUAUUUUAGCUGUAAUUCAUAAAUAUGGCCAUUAAAUGUGUUUGAUAAUUAGGAAAUAUACAAAUAAGGAAUGUUUUUCAAUUUUUAUCACUUCUCCCAUUAUAAGGUAAUAAAUUUUAAAAAUAAACGCUUUUGGUUUAAUCAAGGAAAUUUUGUAAAUUAUGAAAUGCUUAAUUAAAAAUAGCUAAAUAGAUUAGUAAACAUGUGGACUUUUUAUUCAUCCACCGGUUGUGUACACAAGGGCAUUCAUUAUUCUUGACAUUAAACAUCUAGCAUCUCUAGAAGACAAAACUUGUUAUAAGACAACACUUUGUUUAAAACUGAAAUUUUUGUCAUAUAAUUAUUAAUGUAUAUGUGUUGCCCGAAUAUUUAGUGAUAUUUUUAAUGUACAGUGUGUGAUUGGUUAACGAACAGUUA